UUAACUCAAAUUUGUAUGGAGUUGGUACGUUUGCCUACGUUUGCCGCUAGGGGCGCUGUUCUAACUGCAUACUAACUGGAGUUA
This 84-nucleotide microRNA precursor is filed under the name Bombyx mori (domestic silkworm). RNAcentral's name for it is "mir-2807 microRNA precursor family". It matches the Rfam family "mir-2807 microRNA precursor family". The record is from Rfam by way of RNAcentral. Lineage: Eukaryota; Metazoa; Arthropoda; Insecta; Lepidoptera; Bombycidae.